RNAcentral lists this ribosomal RNA (409 nucleotides) under uncultured cyanobacterium. RNAcentral's name for it is "bacterial SSU rRNA". It matches the Rfam family "Bacterial small subunit ribosomal RNA", at positions 355 to 776 of the family's 1533-position model. RNAcentral also lists the same sequence under 1 other name. Lineage: Bacteria; Bacillati; Cyanobacteriota. The record is from RNAcentral.
UGAGGAAUUUUCUGCAAUGGGCGAAAGCCUGACAGAGCAAUACCGCGUGAGGGAUGAAGACUUACUGAGUUGUAAACCUCGGUGCCUUAAGGAAGAAGAUCUGACGGUACUUAAGGUGGAAAGCAUCGGCUAACUCCGUGCCAGCAGCCGCGGUAAGACGGGGGAUGCAAGUGUUAUCCGGAAUUACUGGGCGUAAAGCGUCUGCAGGUGGUUUUAUAAGUCUGCUGUUAAAUCUUGAGGCUCAACCUCAAAUCUGCAGUGGAAACUAUAAGACUUGAGUAUAGUAGGGGUAGAGGGAAUUUCCAGUGGAGCGGUGAAAUGCGUAGAUAUUGGAAAGAACACCGAUGGCGAAGGCACUCUACUGGGCUAUUACUGACACUCAGAGACGAAAGCUAGGGGAGCAAAUGGG